Molecule: ribosomal RNA, 1016 nt
Filed under: uncultured bacterium
Lineage: Bacteria
Description: bacterial SSU rRNA
Rfam family: Bacterial small subunit ribosomal RNA
Source: RNAcentral
AGGAAUAUUGGUCAAUGGGCGAGAGCCUGAACCAGCCAAGUAGCGUGAAGGAUGACUGCCCUAUGGGUUGUAAACUUCUUUUAUAAAGGAAUAAAGUCGGGUAUGGAUACCCGUUUGCAUGUACUUUAUGAAUAAGGAUCGGCUAACUCCGUGCCAGCAGCCGCGGUAAUACGGAGGAUCCGAGCGUUAUCCGGAUUUAUUGGGUUUAAAGGGAGCGUAGAUGGAUAUUUAAGUCAGUUGUGAAAGUUUGCGGCUCAACCGUAAAAUUGCAGUUGAUACUGGAUAUCUUGAGUGCAGUUGAGGCAGGCGGAAUUCGUGGUGUAGCGGUGAAAUGCUUAGAUAUCACGAAGAACUCCGAUUGCGAAGGCAGCCUGCUAAGCUGCAACUGACAUUGAGGCUCGAAAGUGUGGGUAUCAAACAGGAUUAGAUACCCUGGUAGUCCACACGGUAAACGAUGAAUACUCGCUGUUUGCGAUAUACUGCAAGCGGCCAAGCGAAAGCGUUAAGUAUUCCACCUGGGGAGUACGCCGGCAACGGUGAAACUCAAAGGAAUUGACGGGGGCCCGCACAAGCGGAGGAACAUGUGGUUUAAUUCGAUGAUACGCGAGGAACCUUACCCGGGCUUAAAUUGCAGAUGAAUUACGGUGAAAGCCGUAAGCCGCAAGGCAUCUGUGAAGGUGCUGCAUGGUUGUCGUCAGCUCGUGCCGUGAGGUGUCGGCUUAAGUGCCAUAACGAGCGCAACCCUUGUUGUCAGUUACUAACAGGUUUUGCUGAGGACUCUGACAAGACUGCCAUCGUAAGAUGUGAGGAAGGUGGGGAUGACGUCAAAUCAGCACGGCCCUUACGUCCGGGGCUACACACGUGUUACAAUGGGGGGUACAGAGGGCCGCUACCACGCGAGUGGAUGCCAAUCCCAAAAACCUCUCUCAGUUCGGACUGGAGUCUGCAACCCGACUCCACGAAGCUGGAUUCGCUAGUAAUCGCGCAUCAGCCACGGCGCGGUGAAUACGUUCCCG